UGCUCUGGUUGCCUAGUGGUUAGAGCGUCCGCCUCGGAUGCGGGAGGUCGCGAGUUCUAAUCCCAGCCGAGUCAU
This is a non-coding RNA of Potamilus streckersoni, 75 nucleotides long. Lineage: Eukaryota; Metazoa; Mollusca; Bivalvia; Unionida; Unionidae. The record is from the annotation of a GenBank genome assembly.